CAAGAUGAGAUUUCCCAACUUCGGUUAUAAGAUCCCUCGAAGAUGACGAGGUUAAUAGGUUUGAGGUGGAAGCGUGGUGACACGUGGAGCUGACGAAUACUAAUCGAUCGAAGACUUAAUCAAUUUUUAAA
Molecule: ribosomal RNA, 131 nt
Filed under: Staphylococcus epidermidis
Lineage: Bacteria; Bacillati; Bacillota; Bacilli; Caryophanales; Staphylococcaceae
Description: partial 23S ribosomal RNA
Rfam family: Bacterial large subunit ribosomal RNA
Source: RNAcentral